AUGCCAUGAUGUGGACACUUAACCAGCAUACCCUUGAACCUCUCCCACGUUUCUUGUAAUGUUUCUGCCUGAAGCUCAAUAUCUCAUCAAUUUGUUU
Molecule: small nucleolar RNA, 97 nt
Filed under: Nicotiana attenuata
Lineage: Eukaryota; Viridiplantae; Streptophyta; Magnoliopsida; Solanales; Solanaceae
Description: Plant small nucleolar RNA R71
Rfam family: Plant small nucleolar RNA R71
About the family: R71 is a member of the C/D box family of snoRNAs containing the C (UGAUGA) and D (CUGA) box motifs. Multiple nearly identical copies of this snoRNA have been identified in Arabidopsis, and it is thought to function as a 2'-O-ribose methylation guide for 18S ribosomal RNA.
Source: Rfam by way of RNAcentral